UACGUAGGGUGCAAGCGUUGUCCGGAAUUAUUGGGCGUAAAGAGCUCGUAGGCGGUUUGUCGCGUCUGCUGUGAAAACGCGAGGCUCAACCUCGCGCCUGCAGUGGGUACGGGCAGACUAGAGUGCGGUAGGGGAGAUUGGAAUUCCUGGUGUAGCGGUGGAAUGCGCAGAUAUCAGGAGGAACACCGAUGGCGAGGGCAGAUCUCUGGGCCGUAACUGACGCUGAGGAGCGAAAGCAUGGGGAGCGAACAGG
RNAcentral lists this ribosomal RNA (253 nucleotides) under uncultured bacterium. Its description in RNAcentral is "partial 16S ribosomal RNA". It matches the Rfam family "Bacterial small subunit ribosomal RNA", at positions 524 to 776 of the family's 1533-position model. The record is from RNAcentral.